Molecule: ribosomal RNA, 293 nt
Filed under: uncultured microorganism
Description: partial 16S ribosomal RNA
Rfam family: Bacterial small subunit ribosomal RNA
Source: RNAcentral
GUGCCAGCAGCCGCGGUAAUACGUAGGUGGCAAGCGUUGUCCCGGAUUUAUUGGGCGUAAAGCGAGCGCAGGCGGUUCUUUAAGUCUGAUGUGAAAGCCCACGGCUCAACCGUGGAAGGUCAUUGGAAACUGGGGAACUUGAGUGCAGAAGAGGAGAGUGGAAUUCCAUGUGUAGCGGUGAAAUGCGUAGAUAUAUGGAGGAACACCAGUGGCGAAGGCGACUCUCUGGUCUGUAACUGACGCUGAGGCUCGAAAGCGUGGGGAGCAAACAGGAUUAGAUACCCUGGUAGUCC